Molecule: ribosomal RNA, 653 nt
Filed under: uncultured bacterium
Lineage: Bacteria
Description: bacterial SSU rRNA
Rfam family: Bacterial small subunit ribosomal RNA
Source: RNAcentral
GGGGAUAACUACUGGAAACGGUAGCUAAUACCGCAUAACGUCGCAAGACCAAAGAGGGGGACCUUCGGGCCUCUUGCCAUCGGAUGUGCCCAGAUGGGAUUAGCUUGUUGGUGGGGUAACGGCUCACCAAGCGACGAUCCCUAGCUGGUCUGAGAGGAUGACCAGCCACACUGGAACUGAGACACGGUCCAGACUCCUACGGGAGGCAGCAGUGGGGAAUAUUGCACAAUGGGCGCAAGCCUGAUGCAGCCAUGCCGCGUGUAUGAAGAAGGCCUUCGGGUUGUAAAGUACUUUCAGCGGGGAGGAAGGGAGUAAAGUUAAUACCUUUGCUCAUUGACGUUACCCGCAGAAGAAGCACCGGCUAACUCCGUGCCAGCAGCCGCGGUAAUACGGAGGGUGCAAGCGUUAAUCGGAAUUACUGGGCGUAAAGCGCACGCAGGCGGUUUGUUAAGUCAGAUGUGAAAUCCCCGGGCUCAACCUGGGGACUGCAUCUGAUACUGGCAAGCUUGAGUCUCGUAGAGGGGGGUAGAAUUCCAGGUGUAGCGGUGAAAUGCGUAGAGAUCUGGAGGAAUACCGGUGGCGAAGGCGGCCCCCUGGACGAAGACUGACGCUCAGGUGCGAAAGCGUGGGGAGCAAACAGGAUUAGAUACCCU